CUAUAAUUGUCCUAGGACUUAGUGUAGUUCUUUCUGAACCCAAUGCUUGAAUUAUUGAAUUGUAUUCUCUUCGGUGUAAGCCAUGGUCCUCUUUGAAGCUCAAAGUCUAUGUACAAAAACAAACAAACAAAACUAAAUACAGAAAGAACUCAGACUCAGUGGUUAGCAGUAUAACCCCAGGUCCCUUCCCUCCUAGACACUAAGCAGAGUCAUGAUGCAGAUUACUAUUCCUCAGAACACACUGGCUUAAUGUGUU
This 256-nucleotide long non-coding RNA is filed under the name Homo sapiens (human). RNAcentral's name for it is "HSALNT0377248". The record is from RNAcentral. Lineage: Eukaryota; Metazoa; Chordata; Mammalia; Primates; Hominidae.